GUCCCCAUAGUUCAACUGGAUAGAAUAGAGGUUUCCUAAACCUUUGAUACAGGUUCGAUUCCUGUUGGGGAUACCA
RNAcentral lists this transfer RNA (76 nucleotides) under Candidatus Enterousia avicola. RNAcentral describes it as "tRNA-Arg". It matches the Rfam family "tRNA". Rfam says of the family: Transfer RNA (tRNA) molecules are approximately 80 nucleotides in length. Their secondary structure includes four short double-helical elements and three loops (D, anti-codon, and T loops). The record is from RNAcentral. Lineage: Bacteria; Pseudomonadati; Pseudomonadota; Alphaproteobacteria.